This 226-nucleotide long non-coding RNA is filed under the name Homo sapiens (human). RNAcentral describes it as "HSALNT0081822". The record is from RNAcentral. Lineage: Eukaryota; Metazoa; Chordata; Mammalia; Primates; Hominidae.
GCAGAUGCAAGAUCAGGAGGGUGAAGGUUCCGAUGGUUGCUGGAUGGUGUAGGCAGAUGCAAGAUCAGGAGGGUGAAGGUUCCGAUGGUUGCUGGAUGGUGUAGGCAGAUGCAAGAUCAGGAAGGUGAAGGUUCAGAUGGUUGCUGGAUGGUGUAGGCAGAUGCAAGAUCAGGAGGGUGAAGGUUCAGAUGGUUGCUGGAUGGUGUAGGCAGAUGCAAGAUCAGGG